AUGCAAGAGUUCAGAUGCCAGCGUGAGGGCAUUGAUAAGAAGACAAAGCUCAGCAGCACCAGAUGUGGAUGUCGUGCAUGGCUGAGGUUGCUUAGGUCCAAUGAUUUACUAUGGUAUGUCAAGAUAUUCAAUGAACAACACAACCAUGAUCUGGUUGAGAGCUGUGGUCAGAAGAAGCAUUUGUUUUCUCAUAGACACACAGAUGAUUCUACCAAAACUAUGGUCAGGCACCUUCGUGAGAAUAAUGUUAGCCUUAGCAGAAUAAAUGGCAUAGUUGGCAGCUUCUAUGGUACAGCGGAUGGUGUUCCAUUCACGAAGAAGGCUCUGAGGACUUUGUGUUCAGACAUUGCAGCUGAAGCUCUAAAAGAUGAUGUAAGAAAAACAAUUGAGGGUUUCAGAGACAAUAUAGCUCAGGACAAUAGGUUUGUUUUCUCAAUGCAGCUGGAUGCCAAUAAAAAUCUAAGGUCUCUCAUGUGGUCCGAGCAGAGCUCUAUAUUCUCACUUCGGUGA
This 510-nucleotide ribosomal RNA is filed under the name Triticum aestivum (bread wheat). Its description in RNAcentral is "partial small subunit ribosomal RNA". The record is from RNAcentral. Lineage: Eukaryota; Viridiplantae; Streptophyta; Magnoliopsida; Poales; Poaceae.